This 253-nucleotide ribosomal RNA is filed under the name uncultured bacterium. Its description in RNAcentral is "partial 16S ribosomal RNA". It matches the Rfam family "Bacterial small subunit ribosomal RNA", at positions 524 to 776 of the family's 1533-position model. The record is from RNAcentral.
UACAGAGGGUGCGAGCGUUAAUCGGAAUUACUGGGCGUAAAGCGCACGUAGGCGGCUUGGUAUGUCGGGUGUGAAAUCCCCGAGCUCAACCUGGGAACUGCAUCCGAAACUGCCUUGCUCGAGUAUGGGAGAGGGAAGUGGAAUUUCCGGUGUAGCGGUGAAAUGCGUAGAUAUCGGAAGGAACAUCAGUGGCGAAGGCGACUUCCUGGACCAAUACUGACGCUCAUGCACGAAAGCGUGGGGAGCAAACAGG